Molecule: ribosomal RNA, 253 nt
Filed under: uncultured bacterium
Lineage: Bacteria
Description: partial 16S ribosomal RNA
Rfam family: Bacterial small subunit ribosomal RNA
Source: RNAcentral
UACGUAGGGUGCGAGCGUUAAUCGGAAUUACUGGGCGUAAAGCGUGCGCAGGCGGCUUUGCAAGACAGAUGUGAAAUCCCCGGGCUCAACCUGGGAACUGCAUUUGUGACUGCAAGGCUAGAGUACGGCAGAGGGGGAUGGAAUUCCGCGUGUAGCAGUGAAAUGCGUAGAUAUGCGGAGGAACACCAAUGGCGAAGGCACUCCCCUGGGCCUGUACUGACGCUCAUGCACGAAAGCGUGGGGAGCAAACAGG